AUUGAACGCUGGCGGCAUGCCUUACACAUGCAAGUCGAACGGCAGCGCGGGAGCAAUCCUGGCGGCGAGUGGCGAACGGGUGAGUAAUAUAUCGGAACGUGCCCAGUAGUGGGGGAUAGCCCGGCGAAAGCCGGAUUAAUACCGCAUGAGACCUGAGGGUGAAAGCGGGGGAUCGCAAGACCUCGCGCUAUUGGAGCGGCCGAUAUCAGAUUAGCUAGUUGGUGGGGUAAAGGCCUACCAAGGCAACGAUCUGUAGUUGGUCUGAGAGGACGACCAGCCACACUGGGACUGAGACACGGCCCAGACUCCUACGGGAGGCAGCAGUGGGGAAUUUUGGACAAUGGGCGCAAGCCUGAUCCAGCAAUGCCGCGUGCAGGAAGAAGGCCUCGGUUGUAAACUGCUUUGUCAGGAAGAAAUACUUCUGGGCUAAUACCCCGGGACGGGAUGACGGUACCUGAAGAAUAAGCACCGGCUAACUACGUGCCAGCAGCCG
RNAcentral lists this ribosomal RNA (493 nucleotides) under uncultured bacterium. RNAcentral's name for it is "bacterial SSU rRNA". It matches the Rfam family "Bacterial small subunit ribosomal RNA", at positions 29 to 517 of the family's 1533-position model. The record is from RNAcentral.